This is a long non-coding RNA of Tripterygium wilfordii, 626 nucleotides long. RefSeq lists it as uncharacterized. NCBI's taxonomy places the organism in Eukaryota, Viridiplantae, Streptophyta, Magnoliopsida, Celastrales, Celastraceae. The transcript has 3 exons. The record is from RefSeq and is a predicted model, not a curated record.
UGCAGAGUGGUCUCAGUAUCUUGGACUUGUAUUCCUUUGUGUGAUAUUCACUGAAUGAUGAAGACAUUGCAAUAUGGAGCAAUUAUAUUGCAUGGACUUCUAGACCAAAUUAACAGACAACCACCAUAUUUAUGAGGGUAUUCCACAUGUAACAAAUGCAGAAUCUGCGACUCCAUUAGUAACAUGUUUCUACAAAGAUUGGGUCUUUUAUUUCGGUAAAAACCAGAGUUGAAUGGUCAUGGAACUGUUUCUCUGUGCAGCCCUGGUCAUUUUAUAGUGGGCCGUGAUAGCGUGGUUCAAGACCGCAGAUGACCUUACCGAGAUGGGCCUUUGGGCCUCAUCACCGAGCAAGUAGAUCUCUUCAGCGAGCUGGGCCUCUGGGCCCAUAACCGAAUAAAUAGACCUCUGGGAGAUGCGCGAUGGGCGUUUGGGCCCAUCACCGAACAAGUGGAUCUCGGAGAGUUAGGCCUUUAGCAAGUUUUCAUUCUUCUCCUUUUUUUUAAUUUUUAACGAGAUAGCAGUGUAUCUUUCAUUCUCUCCAAACACCUUGAAAGUUAUGACAUCAAUGUUAUAAGUGGAACUGAGAUUUUUUUUAUAACCGAUAAUGACAUUAUACAAAUUUGUAU